AUUGAACGCUGGCGGCAUGCCUUACACAUGCAAGUCGAACGGUAACAGGUCUUCGGAUGCUGACGAGUGGCGAACGGGUGAGUAAUACAUCGGAACGUGCCCGAUCGUGGGGGAUAACGGAGCGAAAGCUUUGCUAAUACCGCAUACGAUCUACGGAUGAAAGCAGGGGACCGCAAGGCCUUGCGCGGACGGAGCGGCCGAUGGCAGAUUAGGUAGUUGGGGGGAUAAAAGCUGACCAAGCCGACGAUCUGUAGCUGGUCUGAGAGGACGACCAGCCACACUGGGACUGAGAAACGGCCCAGACUCCUACGGGAGGCAGCAGUGGGGAAUUUUGGACAGUGGGCGCAAGCCUGAUCCAGCCAUGCCGCGUGCAGGAUGAAGGCCUUAGGGUUGUAAACUGCUUUUGUACGGAACGAAAAGACUCUUUCUAAUAAAGAGGGUCCAUGACGGUACCGUAAGAAUAAGCACCGGCUAACUACGUGCCAGCCGCCGCGGUAA
This 498-nucleotide ribosomal RNA is filed under the name uncultured bacterium. Its description in RNAcentral is "partial 16S ribosomal RNA". It matches the Rfam family "Bacterial small subunit ribosomal RNA", at positions 30 to 523 of the family's 1533-position model. The record is from RNAcentral.